This 480-nucleotide ribosomal RNA is filed under the name uncultured bacterium. RNAcentral's name for it is "bacterial SSU rRNA". It matches the Rfam family "Bacterial small subunit ribosomal RNA", at positions 29 to 524 of the family's 1533-position model. The record is from RNAcentral.
AACAAACGCUGGCGGCGUGCCUAAUACAUGCAAGUCGAACGGGGAAAGUAGCAAUACGAGUACUAGUGGCGCACGGGUGAGGAAUACAUGGGUAAUCUGCCCUCGAGCUCGGGAUAACCAGUCGAAAGACUGGCUAAUACCGGAUAUGACCACAAGAUCUGAGGAUCAAGGGGUAAAAGGUUUUUCGCUUGAGGAUGAGCCCAUGUGGGAUUAGCUAGUUGGUGUAGGUAACGGCUCACCAAGGCGACGAUCCCUAACUGGUCUUAGAGGAUGAUCAGUCACACUAGAACUGAGACACGGUCCAGACUCCUACGGGAGGCAGCAGUAGGGAAUAUUGCACAAUGGAGGAAACUCUGAUGCAGCGACGCCGCGUGAGUGAUGAAGGCCUUCGGGUCGUAAAGCUCUGUCGUAUGGGACUAACAAAAUGAAGGUACCAUGCAAGAAAGGAUCGGCUAACUUCGUGCCAGCAGCCGCGGUAAU